GUCGCUGCCAAUUCAGCGACCGGGCGUCGCGGCCCGGCUCAAUCAAGGCGCAUAGCGCCAUCAUUUCCUUUCAGUUGGCGCUUUUUU
Molecule: small RNA, 87 nt
Filed under: Pseudomonas fluorescens HK44
Lineage: Bacteria; Pseudomonadati; Pseudomonadota; Gammaproteobacteria; Pseudomonadales; Pseudomonadaceae
Description: isrK
Source: RNAcentral